UACGAAGGGGGCUAGCGUUGCUCGGAAUCACUGGGCGUAAAGCGCACGUAGGCGGCUUGUUAAGUCAGGGGUGAAAUCCUGGAGCUCAACUCCAGAACUGCCUUUGAUACUGGCGAGCUUGAGUCCGGGAGAGGUGAGUGGAACUGCGAGUGUAGAGGUGAAAUUCGUAGAUAUUCGCAAGAACACCAGUGGCGAAGGCGGCUCACUGGCCCGGUACUGACGCUGAGGUGCGAAAGCGUGGGGAGCAAAUAGG
This 253-nucleotide ribosomal RNA is filed under the name uncultured bacterium. RNAcentral describes it as "partial 16S ribosomal RNA". It matches the Rfam family "Bacterial small subunit ribosomal RNA", at positions 524 to 776 of the family's 1533-position model. The record is from RNAcentral.